RNAcentral lists this ribosomal RNA (494 nucleotides) under uncultured bacterium. Its description in RNAcentral is "partial 16S ribosomal RNA". It matches the Rfam family "Bacterial small subunit ribosomal RNA", at positions 28 to 507 of the family's 1533-position model. The record is from RNAcentral.
GACGAACGCUGGCGGCGUGCUUAACACAUGCAAGUCGAACGGCAAGGCCUGCUUUCCCUUGUGGAUUGCGGGUACUCGAGUGGCGAACGGGUGAGUAACACGUGAGUGAUCUGCCCCCAACUUGGGUAUAAGCCUGGGAAACUGGGUCUAAUUCCCGAUAGGACUGCAGGGUGGUGCCUGUGGUGGAAAACGAUUUUCUAGUGGUUGGGGAUGAGCUCGCGGCCUAUCAGCUUGUUGGUGGGGUAAUGGCCUACCAAGGCGGCGACGGGUAGCCGGCCUGAGAGGGGGGACAGCGGAAUUGGGACUGGGAUACGGCCCAGACUCCUACGGGAGGCAGCAGUUGGGAAUAAUGCACAAUGGGCGGAAGCCUGAUGCAGCGACGCCGCGUGGGGGAUGACGGCCUUCGGGUUGUAAACUCCUUUCGACCGCGAGGAAGCCACCUGGUUGGAAGGGUGGUGACGGUAGUGGUAGAAGAAGCACCGGCUAACUACGUG